Long non-coding RNA from Ailuropoda melanoleuca (giant panda), 423 nucleotides. RefSeq lists it as uncharacterized. The transcript is spliced from 3 exons. The record is from RefSeq and is a predicted model, not a curated record. NCBI's taxonomy places the organism in Eukaryota, Metazoa, Chordata, Mammalia, Carnivora, Ursidae.
UCCUUAAGUGAUCUGUGUCUGACCUGCCCUAGCAGUAAAGCCGAAGUAACGCCUCUUCCUUGUCAAGAUCUGUGAAACACAUCGCCACCUCGCCUGCCUGAUGGCUUUAUUUAAAGAUAAAUCUUCAUGAAUUCACACAACAUCUAUUUCUACUGUGAAAAUUUCCAAUAACAGAUUUCCCCUUGUCUUAGGCUGUUUGACAGGCAUUUUAGAGUCGAGCCAUCGUUCCUGAGAAGAAUCUUGUUUGGAGAGUUGGGGCCACACGUCACCCGACAAACAGCCUUGAACACGGGGAACCCAUUUAGAACUAUCAGAUCCACCAGCCCACUCCGGAAGGUGUGUGAUGUUUCCCAACCCCUUACUCCCCAGAGACUGGUCCACAGACCAGCAGCAGCAGUAGUAUCUGGGAGCCUGGUUCAAAAU